Molecule: unclassified non-coding RNA, 1874 nt
Filed under: Cyanidioschyzon merolae strain 10D
Lineage: Eukaryota; Rhodophyta; Bangiophyceae; Cyanidiales; Cyanidiaceae
Description: hypothetical transcript
Source: RNAcentral
UUGUUGCUCGUCUGCUCGUGCGCGUGAGGGUAGCGCGAAGAAGCGCUGCGUUUCACGAGGCGCACCCCGUGUCCCUGGACUGCGUCGAAUCCUCAGCGUGCUGGCGCAGCAGCAUGGAAACUGACGGAGACGAUCUCUCGAGAUACUGAUGGAGGCAAGUCACGAGCUGAUGAUGUCAUAUUCGUUCGCGGCGGUAGCCAGUGCCCCGGAAACGUCGCAGUGAGCUCGAGCGUCACCUCUGAUCACCAGAGCUCAACGUGGCGUACUGGACCCCGAAUCGCCGAACGUCAUAUCCAAGGAAUGGUAGACACAUCGUGCCUGGCUGGAAGCCUUGCCUCCUGCGGAAAUGCGUGUUCCAUGAACGAGCAUCGUAGAGCAAAGCUGUAGCAGAGCCCGGAUCCGAGCGCAUUCGCCUUCUCAAGCUCCUCCCUGAUGUCUUCCUGAUUCGUCAGAUCGAGGUCUAUUGUAUCACCAAAGAGUCUUCAGUGGUAUAUGGCCGCUCUCAGUGAGCUACGACUGGUCUCUGCAAGCAACGAUGAAGCAUUAUGACAACUUUACGAAAAGCACUGGUGGAGCUCGCUCAAUCUUUUCCUUCAACACAAUGGAAAUAGAAUGAACUGAACAGGGACGAUCAACACUUUCGGACGAUCGACCUGCAUGCACUUUGUGAAACCCUGGUCUCAGUCGAACAAUGAGACUCAUUUUCAACCGUUUUUAGGUAGAUGAAUAGAGAUAGUUUCAGAUACGCGGGAGUCCGGGUUCCGGGGCACCGCGGCCGUCGCCAUACCAGCAGAUCGAUCGAGGCGGUGGAGCCCACGACCUCACAAGAAAACUAGAUGGGGCUGCGCAUCUUCUUCCAAUGCUAGGUUGCAUCGCUGGCCGGGUAUCGUGGCCACCAGGACGCAUAUGGUCAAGCGGAAUGACAGCAACGGGAUCGAUGUCGACACCCUGAGCAUCCUGUCGAAUCGAGACGGCUGUUUCAUGCGCUUCAUUCAGAGACAAUAUAUGACCGUGCCAUCGGCGCAUGCGGACGAUCUUUGGCAGGAGGAUCUGACAGACUGCGCUGCGAUCGCGAACAGUAUCGGUGGUGCGGAGGCAACAGGCGUGGCUUUACCAGCCUGUUCAGUGCACCACAUAAGGAGCUGAUGGAUGCGUCCCGUUAUUUGGUCAUAGCCUACCGCGCUGAAUAUGCUGUAGCGCGCAUCAUCUGCACUCCUGCUCCUUCGACGUGCGCGGACAAGGAAAACAGGAAUCGAUUCUGUAAGAUUCUCAUCGAUGCGUUCAGGACGACAUCCACACAUGAAGAGAAUGGGAGCACGUUGCAUGAUCUAGAAAAGAUAACAGUGAAACACAGCCGAAUGCUCGAUACGGUGCUGGGUAAGCUGAGCGAGCGUCGGAAGGCGAGGUGCUCGAAUAGCGAGGCUUUCUAUGAGGUCAUUUCACCUGUGCAACAAUGGACGUUACCGCUUUCCACACUGAGCAUUCUACACCGCGAUCAACUUGCCGGAAUGCACCGUGCCUCGGCAACAUCCAGCAGCUUUGCGUUGAGCGAAAUUCCGUCAGAAUCCCAUACUACAAAGUCUGCGCAUUGUACUGAAACUCUGAAGACCUUUGGUGAAUAGAGAACCACUGACCAGGAGCGAAGACUCCCAGAAUCCUCUACGGCAAAGUCUGGGCAAUGUACUGAAACGCUGAAGAUGUUCGAUGAAAAAGGAACCGGUGACCAGGAGCGAUGCGUUCGUAUGUAAUCGCCCGGAGCAAGGCGCUGGUUCGGUACGAGUCAGCUAUCCGGCAAGGUUGCGACGCCGUAUAAUCCACCCACUCACACACAUUCACACAAGGAAGCAGUGUCCUGGACAUUUGAUAAACGAUCA